RNAcentral lists this transfer RNA (69 nucleotides) under Entemnotrochus adansonianus. RNAcentral describes it as "tRNA-Lys". Lineage: Eukaryota; Metazoa; Mollusca; Gastropoda; Pleurotomariida; Pleurotomariidae. The record is from RNAcentral.
UUCUGGGUGGCCGAGAAAACUUAGGCUUUAGACUUUUAAUCUAAAAACGAUCACUUCGAUCCCCAGGAA